This 500-nucleotide ribosomal RNA is filed under the name uncultured bacterium. Its description in RNAcentral is "partial 16S ribosomal RNA". It matches the Rfam family "Bacterial small subunit ribosomal RNA", at positions 30 to 523 of the family's 1533-position model. The record is from RNAcentral.
AUUGAACGCUGGCGGCAUGCCUUACACAUGCAAGUCGAACGGUAACAGGGAGCUUGCUCCGCUGACGAGUGGCGAACGGGUGAGUAAUGUAUCGGAACGUACCUUUUAGUGGGGGAUAACGUAGCGAAAGUUACGCUAAUACCGCAUAUUCUCUGAGGAGGAAAGCAGGUGACCUUCGGGCCUUGCGCUAAUAGAGCUGCUGAUAUCAGAUUAGCUAGAUGGUGAGGUAAGGGCUCACCAAGGCGACGAGCUGUAGCGGGUCUGAGAGGAUGAUCCGCCACACUGGAGCUGAGACACGGUCCAGACUCCUACGGGAGGCAGCAGUGGGGAAUUUUGGACAAUGGGGGCAACCCUGAUCCAGCCAUGCCGCGUGAGUGAAGAAGGCCUUCGGGUUGUAAAGCUCUUUCGGCUGAAAAGAAAUCGCACAGGCUAAUACCCUGUGUGGAUGACGGUAUCAGCAUAAGAAGCACCGGCUAACUACGUGCCAGCAGCCGCCGUAA